AGUAGGUUGAAUCAUGUCCCCUAGAAGACUUGCACCAGAGACUGUUGAACCACUCCAGGCAUGAACUCCAAAGCUGAGGCACACUGACCAAGCCCCUGGGCAUCUACAGAAGCAAAGGCGUUCUCUCUCCAGCUGGCUGCUCCUUCUGGAAGAGCCCUUUGAUCUGGGUUAAUCGGCCAUAGAGCCUCUCUCUCAAUGGAGGAAUGUGGUAGCUAGGGUCCAGAAUGUUUGUCACUCGGCGCUCUCUCUCUUGCUUCCAUAACUUGUAUGGGUGGGGAGGGAAGAACGGUCGUCCUCUCUCUCUUUGAAUCUGUAACGUAAU
RNAcentral lists this long non-coding RNA (322 nucleotides) under Pan troglodytes (chimpanzee). RNAcentral describes it as "long non-coding RNA NONPTRT003956". Lineage: Eukaryota; Metazoa; Chordata; Mammalia; Primates; Hominidae. The record is from RNAcentral.